UCAAAAGAAGAAAAAGAAGAAGAAUUAGAAGAAGGAAAUCAUCAAUCAAUAUGUUAAUAAUGAAUAAUAAAAUAAAAUGGAAUAUAAAAUGGAUGUACCCACGUUAGGUACAUACCUGCGCUGAGGGACCUUGUACACAUUAUCAUCGCAUACGGCCCUAGCGCGUCAUCGUGAGCGCAACACGGCCCCCCCUCAUAUGCGCAAAAAUCAUGCGUGGCAGUUAGCCGGCCGGUAUUAACCUGUAACUGGUGCAAGAGCUAACGAAACUCGGCACGUGCUCGGCACGUUGUAACAGUCACGGUGUUGACGAGCGAUUCAAACUGUUUUGUGAACGAGAAGACACGUGGGCUGUUUCUACCUAUGCAGGUGUAAUUUAAGCAAAGUCAUGGCGCAAUCCAAAAAUUAUGUCAUUGUAGAGUUUGAGGAUGGAAUUCAAUUGAUAGCGAGUAAUUGGCUAAUUGAAGAGACCAUGGAAGCUUACUGGCCUAAUUUUACAACGAUGAAUCGAUAUUACAAGGCUGUGCAAGUAUUGGAACCGAUUAAAGAUUCGUGGAAGUUGUUCAAAGUAAAACGUAUACUGGCCAAAACUUAUAACUAUGAGAAAGGAA
RNAcentral lists this long non-coding RNA (608 nucleotides) under Neodiprion pinetum (white pine sawfly). RNAcentral describes it as "uncharacterized LOC124214987". The record is from RNAcentral. Lineage: Eukaryota; Metazoa; Arthropoda; Insecta; Hymenoptera; Diprionidae.